This 331-nucleotide ribosomal RNA is filed under the name uncultured bacterium. RNAcentral describes it as "bacterial SSU rRNA". It matches the Rfam family "Bacterial small subunit ribosomal RNA", at positions 568 to 898 of the family's 1533-position model. The record is from RNAcentral.
UGCGCAGGCGGCCGAGUGUGUUAGGCGUGAAAGCCCGUCGCUCAACGACGGAAUUGCACCUAAAACUACUUGGCUAGAGUACUGGAGAGGGUAGUGGAAUUCACGGUGUAGCAGUGAAAUGCGUAGAUAUCGUGAGGAACACCAAUGGCGAAGGCAACUACCUGGACAGUUACUGACGCUCAGGCACGAAAGCGUGGGGAGCAAAGGGAUUAGAUACCCCUGUAGUCCACGCCCUAAACGGUGCACACUAGGUCUUGGCGGAUUCGACCCCGUCAGGGCCCAAGCUAACGCGUUAAGUGUGCCGCCUGAGGACUACGGCCGCAAGGCUAAA